Molecule: non-coding RNA, 24 nt
Filed under: Cricetulus griseus (Chinese hamster)
Lineage: Eukaryota; Metazoa; Chordata; Mammalia; Rodentia; Cricetidae
Source: RNAcentral
GCAAGAGCUCAGCAGGCAGUGGGA